AUGCAAGUCGGACGGUAGCACAGAGGAAAGCUGUGCUCUCCGGGUGUACGAGUGGCAGACGGGUGAGUAAUGUCUGGGAAACUGCCCGGUGGAGGGGGAUAACUACUGGAAACGGUAGCUAAUACCGCAUAACGUCUUCGGACCAAGGUGGGGGAUCUUCGGACCUCACGCCUGCGGAUGUGCCCAGAUGGGAUUAGCUGGUAGGUGGGGUAACGGCUCACCUAUGCGACGAUCCCUAGCUGGUCUGAGAGGAUGACCAGNNACACUGGAACUGAGACACGGUCCACACUCCUACGGGAGGCAGCAGUGGGGAAUAUUGCACAAUGGGCGCNNGCCUGAUGCAUCCAUGCCGCGUGUAUGAAGAAUGCCUUCGGGUUGUAAAGUACUUUCAUCGGGGAGGAAGGCGGUGAGGUUAAUAACCUUGCCGAUUGACGUUANNCGCANNAUAAGCACCGGCUAACUCCGUGCCAGCAGCGGCGGUNNUAGGUAAUAA
This 493-nucleotide ribosomal RNA is filed under the name Erwinia billingiae. Its description in RNAcentral is "partial 16S ribosomal RNA". It matches the Rfam family "Bacterial small subunit ribosomal RNA", at positions 55 to 533 of the family's 1533-position model. The record is from RNAcentral. Lineage: Bacteria; Pseudomonadati; Pseudomonadota; Gammaproteobacteria; Enterobacterales; Erwiniaceae.